GACUUGAAUACAUCACUUUAAUCUGAUCACUGGUUUGGAAAUGUUAGAUCACUCGUUACAGAAAUAAAGAGGUCAGGUUAGAGUAACGUAACGCGAUGCAGCCUUUAGUGCUUGAAUUAUACUGUAACAGUGCUGUCAUGUGUUACUCCUAACUGUGAUCACUUGAGAACAUUUGCCCAUUUCUUGCAAUUGUUUUAUGUUUUAUUGUCUUUUUACUGUUCAAGACUCUACCUGGCUGCACUGCAUUACAGUGAGAAGGCUGAUAGAGGACAAGCCAACACAUCAUCAGGAGAUCCUCUUUUCAAACUGAGCUUUCCAAAGUCCAGGAAGGGAGAGUGCAGAGCCAAACCCGUGAAGACAGGCAUGACAUUCUACUGCGGUGAUGCACUGUUGGACCUGAUCUCGAGAAGGUUCUCCAGGACCCUGACCCACAUGUGAACGAGGUGCUGAAACUCAUAAUCCCUGAAGAUCUCUCAGACCAUGCAGACAGGCAGCACAACUCUCACUCUCCGCCCCUGAGAGCCCCAGCACCAGCUUACAAAGCUUCUGUAGGCUAUAUAGGCUGAACACAAUUCAAUAUAAAGUCAGCACUGAAUGUUUACACCCAUGGCAACUAGAUACUUUAUUUGUUAUUAUUUUCUUAUUGAUAUUGAAGUUAAUAUAUAAAGUUAAACUGUUUCACUUCAGAUAUUUAUUUUCUUCUUCUUAUUUUUUCAUUCAUGUCAACACGUUUAAAAAUGUUUCUUACAAUAAAACAUUUUUCCUAACUGUUCUGUGUUUUCAUUGAUUGCUAUGUAAUUUUCAUGGUAAUAAGUAAAAGAUAAACUAUAAGCAAUGUAAGAUAGAGGAAUCAGUUAUGUACUUUUCAUCAUAACACUUUUGCGAUAAAUGAAUAGUAUUUAUGUGACUAAAAGCUUACUGCACUAUUCCCCUCAGACGUAAAGGUCCAUAGUCUGCUCAAUAAAUGUUCAGUGCAUUCUGCAGUGCAGAUACAGUCAGGCAGACAGGUUACAGGCCAGGAGGGUCCACCAUGCAUGAUGGUGGCUCAGGAUGCUGCUGUAGUCUUCGUGUAACCUAGAAAUUAUGAAAGGUAAGUGAGUGACAAUAGAUUACAGAAAAGAUAGACUGCAAAAUAACAACCAUGUUUGCCCAGUGUUCACACUUCAUUGUGGUAUUUCCAUACAGCAGAUAUUCUCAGGUUAUGUAGACAUUUGUUCAAAAUUGCCACAGGAACACCUGCUUUUAUGCAGAAUUUUUAUUAUUCAUUGUAAACUAUAAUCGCUAAUCACGUCGCUUUGUUUCUUUGGUGAUAUAUUUAAAGUUUAUAAACCGUUGUAACUGGUUAAAAAACAAUUCUACUGGUAGAGAGGUGAUGGGGGGCAACUGGCUUACUGAAAACUACAGUUGAAAAUUACUGGCAGUAGCUAAUUACAGGUCGUCACUGCAAAUAAGAACAGGUUCUCAAUCAACUUACCUGGCUACAUAAAGGUAAAUAAUAAUAUGGGGUUAUGCUUUUGUCUUGUAACGGCUGUUGCUAAAUUGCAUCCGCGUUACAACAACUGGACAGCAGUAAACACCAGCCGAGGUUUGGCUAGCUUUAUGAUGUAAACACUUGAGGCAGGAGAAGGGGGCUGUUAUUUGAAACAACGCGGGGCAGACGGCCAGUAAGCCCGUAAAACUUUACUUAGUCUGCAGUAACAUAAAAGUAAUGUCGAGGUAACAAAUUAACUA
This 1731-nucleotide long non-coding RNA is filed under the name Sparus aurata (gilthead seabream). RNAcentral's name for it is "lncRNA (ENSSAUG00010014685.1)". The record is from RNAcentral. Lineage: Eukaryota; Metazoa; Chordata; Actinopteri; Spariformes; Sparidae.